AAAGUCGUAACAAGGUAACCGUAGGUGAACCUGCGGUUGGAUCAUUAACAAAUUUUAAACUCGCAAGAGUUAUAAAAAAGAGGAGGGUUAACUACCCGACUCGACACUGAAUGUGAAUUGUCAAAGUUUCGACUUUUUUUUUAAACAUAUUUUAUUGAUUUAUCCAAGUAUGAUUCUUAAAAUCAGAAAACAACUUUUGACAACGGAUCUCUUGGCUCUC
RNAcentral lists this unclassified non-coding RNA (220 nucleotides) under Chytridiomycota sp. RNAcentral describes it as "partial contains small subunit ribosomal RNA, internal transcribed spacer 1, and 5.8S ribosomal RNA". The stretch from base 1 to 47 matches the Rfam family "Eukaryotic small subunit ribosomal RNA", at positions 1785 to 1831 of the family's 1831-position model. Lineage: Eukaryota; Fungi; Chytridiomycota. The record is from RNAcentral.